UACGUAGGGGGCUAGCGUUGUCCGGAAUCAUUGGGCGUAAAGCGCGUGUAGGCGGCCCGGUAAGUCCGCUGUGAAAGUCGGGGGCUCAACCCUCGGAUGCCGGUGGAUACUGUCGGGCUAGAGUGCGGAAGAGGCGAGUGGAAUUCCUGGUGUAGCGGUGAAAUGCGCAGAUAUCAGGAGGAACACCUGUGGCGAAAGCGGCUCACUGGACCAUAACUGACGCUGAUGCACGAAAGCUAGGGGAGCAAACAGG
Molecule: ribosomal RNA, 253 nt
Filed under: uncultured bacterium
Lineage: Bacteria
Description: partial 16S ribosomal RNA
Rfam family: Bacterial small subunit ribosomal RNA
Source: RNAcentral